UGCGCACAAGCCCACCCUCCCAGACGCCCGUCUCCAGCCUCGCGCCCUGCCUCGCUUUGCCUGUUAGGGACGUGAGUGCUUUCCUUCCGUUUCUUCCCGUUGGCCUCGUUUGUGCCUGCUGAGUCUCGUAGAACAUGUCUAAUUCCGCUCAUGUAAGACAGCAUGGCGACGGCUCUCACCACCCCCCAUCAUCUUCUUUCUAAACGAAACAUCUUCAGUUCCUUCAAUUUCUUGUGACAUUUGCCAAGAUGAAACUGCUAUUGGUCCCUGUGUUUCCUCUUGGAAAGCCUUUGCUGAGGGAUUUGCCAUGGUGCCUUAACUCCAGAGAAUGUGAAGCUUCUGAGAUUGAAGAAGGCCAGGAUCUUCAUGGAGGAUGACCAGAACCUGCAUGGAGUUAAGAUCCCUGCGAUGGAGGUGGGGGAAAGAAUUCUCUCAUAUCACCCAGCGCAUCUGAGCCUUCAGCCAAGUGACCAUGGUAGUGAGAGAAGCUGAUGAGGAGAUUCCACACACAUACAUUUUAUCAAACAAGCCAUAGAUCUUCAUGAAGCUAGGAAUUUACAUCGAAGACCUGGGGAAAAUGAACAAAGCCAAAAUUAAAUUGAAUUUUAAAUUAA
Suricata suricatta (meerkat) is the source of this 614-nucleotide long non-coding RNA. RefSeq lists it as uncharacterized. Lineage: Eukaryota; Metazoa; Chordata; Mammalia; Carnivora; Herpestidae. The transcript is spliced from 2 exons. The record is from RefSeq and is a predicted model, not a curated record.